This is a long non-coding RNA of Xiphophorus hellerii (green swordtail), 387 nucleotides long. RefSeq lists it as uncharacterized. The transcript has 3 exons. The record is from RefSeq and is a predicted model, not a curated record. NCBI's taxonomy places the organism in Eukaryota, Metazoa, Chordata, Actinopteri, Cyprinodontiformes, Poeciliidae.
CCAGCCCUGACCACGUGACUUACAGGAAACUAUGCAGCUUCAAUGCAGCAGCAGCAGCUACUUUCACUUUCAACUCUGACAGAGCCGCUGUGUGUUUUGCCUGCAGAUGGAGGCAGCAUCGAUGUGGGUCAUCAUGGCCAUCUGAGGAAUGUCUGCAGAGACAGAAACAGAUGCUGAGGGAGUCAUGGAAAUGGUAUCCAUGGAGAUAUCCAUGGAGACAGCCACCCAUCAAGGGUCAACAUGGAAAACUAAACUGAAGCAUUAAUCUCUGGAGCGUUGGCAGACAUCACACAGACCAGGACAUGAACCUUGUCACCAAGUGAGGGAUUUGGGUUGUAACCAUAAUCGUCUUUAGUCAGUGGGCCCAUUGGGUUAAACUGCAAAAAA